AAUCGCCCGGCGCACGGCUGUUACAGUGCGAAGUCCGACCAUCAGGGGAAUCCGGUGAGAAGCCGGAACUGACGCGCAACGGUAUGAGGCACCGCCUCGAGUCCGAUCACCUGUAGUCGGGAUGACCGCUGA
This 132-nucleotide non-coding RNA is filed under the name Mycobacterium farcinogenes. Lineage: Bacteria; Bacillati; Actinomycetota; Actinomycetes; Mycobacteriales; Mycobacteriaceae. The record is from RNAcentral.